Molecule: long non-coding RNA, 463 nt
Organism: Mauremys reevesii (Reeves's turtle)
Lineage: Eukaryota; Metazoa; Chordata; Testudines; Geoemydidae
Exons: 3
Source: RefSeq, a predicted model, not a curated record
UACAGGAAAGGAGCGUUACUCACCUUGUGCAGUAACUGGAGUUCUUUGAGAUGUGUCCCCCAGUGAGAGCUCCAUUUCCGGUGCAUGUGUCUCUGCACCCUUGAUCUGAGAUUUUUGGUAGCAGUGCUUGUUCGGCCCACGCAUGUGCCUCCUCGCAUCCUUGCACCCCGCACUGAGGAUAUAUAGGUCUGUGAGGCGAACGACCUGUAGCUCCUUCUCUAUCAUAACGUCCCACAAGGUAAAACUUCAAAGCAGAGGGGAAGGAGGGCAAGUAGUGGAGCACCCACAGGGAAACAUAUCUGGAAGAACGCCAGUUACUGCACAAGGUAGUUAAGGACAGCGGAUAGAGAAGAGUGAUCUGGAGAAAAUUGUUGAAGGAUACACCAGUGAUGAAAUCUCUUCUGUUUCUGAAGGAAUGUACCUGUUGGACAAUCAAAGGAGUUGCUCCAUUCCUAUGGACCCC